This 754-nucleotide ribosomal RNA is filed under the name uncultured Mobiluncus sp. Its description in RNAcentral is "bacterial SSU rRNA". It matches the Rfam family "Bacterial small subunit ribosomal RNA", at positions 28 to 776 of the family's 1533-position model. The record is from RNAcentral. Lineage: Bacteria; Bacillati; Actinomycetota; Actinomycetes; Actinomycetales; Actinomycetaceae.
GACGAACGCUGGCGGCGUGCUUAACACAUGCAAGUCGAACGAUGAAGCUUGGUGCUUGCACUGGGUGGAUUAGUGGCGAACGGGCGAGUAACACGUGAGUAACCUGUCCUUUUCUUUGGGAUAACGGCUGGAAACGGCUGCUAAUACCGGAUAUUCAGGCGUGACCGCAUGGUUGUGUUUGGAAAGGUUUUUUCUGGAAUGGGGUGGGCUCGCGGCCUAUCAGCUUGUUGGUGGGGUGAUGGCUUACCAAGGCUUUGACGGGUAGCCGGCCUGAGAGGGUGGUCGGUCGCACUGGGACUGAGAUACGGCCCAGACUCCUACGGGAGGCAGCAGUGGGGAAUAUUGCACAAUGGACGAAAGUUUGAUGCAGCGACGCCGCGUGGAGGGUGUAGGCCUUCGGGUUGUGAACUCCUUUUUCUAGCGAAAAAGGCACGGUUUUGGCCGUGUUGAUGGUAGUUGGGGAAGAAGCGCCGGCUAACUACGUGCCAGCAGCCGCGGUAAUACGUAGGGCGCGAGCGUUGUCCGGAUUUAUUGGGCGUAAAGAGCUCGUAGGUGGUUCGUCGCGUCUGUCGUGAAAGCCAGCAGCUUAACUGUUGGUCUGCGGUGGGUACGGGCGGGCUUGAGUGCGGUAGGGGAGAUUGGAAUUCCUGGUGUAGCGGUGGAAUGCGCAGAUAUCAGGAGGAACACCGAUGGCGAAGGCAGGUCUCUGGGCCGUUACUGACGCUGAGGAGCGAAAGCGUGGGGAGCGAACAGG